RNAcentral lists this ribosomal RNA (715 nucleotides) under uncultured bacterium. RNAcentral's name for it is "bacterial SSU rRNA". It matches the Rfam family "Bacterial small subunit ribosomal RNA", at positions 111 to 823 of the family's 1533-position model. The record is from RNAcentral.
UAACACGUAUGUAACCUGCCCUAUGCAGGGGGAAAACCCGGAGAAAUCCGGCCUAAUACCGCGUAACACCUUUUGGGAGCAUUUCUGGGAGGUUAAAGGAGAGAUCCGGCAUAGGAUGGACAUGCGUCGCAUUAGGUAGACGGCGGGGUAACGGCCCACCGUGCCGACGAUGCGUAGGGGUUCUGAGAGGAAGGCCCCCCACACUGGUACUGAGACACGGACCAGACUCCUACGGGAGGCAGCAGUGAGGAAUAUUGGUCAAUGGCCGAGAGGCUGAACCAGCCAAGUCGCGUGAGGGAAGAAUGUCCUAAGGAUUGUAAACCUCUUUUGUCGGGGAGCAAAAAGGCUCUGCGGAGUCGUAUUGAGAGUACCCGAAGAAAAAGCAUCGGCUAACUCCGUGCCAGCAGCCGCGGUAAUACGGAGGAUGCGAGCGUUAUCCGGAUUUAUUGGGUUUAAAGGGUGCGCAGGCGGCGUGUCAAGCAAGCGGUAAAAUAGCGGGGCUCAACCCCGUCGAGCCGUUUGAACUGGCGCGCUUGAGUUCAGGCGAGGUAGGCGGAAUUCGUGGUGUAGCGGUGAAAUGCAUAGAUAUCACGAAGAACUCCGAUUGCGAAGGCAGCUUACCAGUCUGCGACUGACGCUCAGGCACGAAAGUGUGGGUAUCGAACAGGAUUAGAUACCCUGGUAGUCCACACAGUAAACGAUGAGCGCUAGGUGU